GACGGGGGGGGCAAGUGUUCUUCGGAAUGACUGGGCGUAAAGGGCACGUAGGCGGUGAAUCGGGUUGAAAGUGAAAGUCGCCAAAAAGUGGCGGAAUGCUCUCGAAACCAAUUCACUUGAGUGAGACAGAGGAGAGUGGAAUUUCGUGUGUAGGGGUGAAAUGCGCAGAUAUCAGGAGGAACACCGGUGGCGAAGGCGGGUCUCUGGGUAGUAACUGACGCUGAGGAACGAAAGCGUGGGUAGCAAACAGG
Molecule: ribosomal RNA, 251 nt
Filed under: uncultured bacterium
Lineage: Bacteria
Description: partial 16S ribosomal RNA
Rfam family: Bacterial small subunit ribosomal RNA
Source: RNAcentral